UUGACGGGGCCCGCACAAGCGGUGGAUUAUGUGGAUUAAUUCGAUGCAACGCGAAAAACCUUACCUGGCCUUGACAUGUACCGAAUUUACCAGAGAUGGUUUAGUGCUCGAAAGAGAACGGUAACACAGGUGCUGCAUGGCUGUCGUCAGCUCGUGUCGUGAGAUGUUGGGUUAAGUCCCGCAACGAGCGCAACCCUUGCCAUUAAUUGCCAUCAUUUAGUUGGGCACUUUAAUGGGACUGCCGGUGACAAACCGGAGGAAGGUGGGGAUGACGUCAAGUCCUCAUGGCCCUUAUGGCCAGGGCUUCACACGUAAUACAAUGGUCGGUACAGAGGGUCGCCAACCCGCGAGGGGGAGCCAAUCCCAGAAAGCCGAUCGUAGUCCGGAUUGUAGUCUGCAACUCGACUACAUGAAGUCGGAAUCGCUAGUAAUCGCGGAUCAGCAUGUCGCGGUGAAUACGUUCCCGGGCCUU
This 472-nucleotide ribosomal RNA is filed under the name uncultured Methylophilaceae bacterium. Its description in RNAcentral is "bacterial SSU rRNA". It matches the Rfam family "Bacterial small subunit ribosomal RNA", at positions 910 to 1382 of the family's 1533-position model. The record is from RNAcentral. Lineage: Bacteria; Pseudomonadati; Pseudomonadota; Betaproteobacteria; Nitrosomonadales; Methylophilaceae.